UGAAAUUAUACCUAAUGAGCAAGGUAGAGAUGACGUUGGAAAGGAAAAACUCGGUGAGAUGAUAUGAGGAAGAAACCUCGAGAGGAACAAGACUCAAAAGGGAACCCAUCCUUUAUAACCCCCUUCUAGAGCUGUGUACUAUAUGGUCAAAUAAUGCAAUUGUGUAAACAGGAAAUUCGUUAUAGUUUUCACACAAAGUCUGUUUUGUUGAACUUCUCCACUGUUCACUGAUGGAGACUUGAGUGCAAAACUGUUCAUAUGAAUUGUGGUCCAAAGCCAUCUUCGUGGUUUUUAAGUGGUACCAUCCUCAGUAAUCUCCAUGACCUUCAGUGAAGUUAUCUAUAUUUAUCUAAGGCUCAAACAGAGAUUUAAAUUGUUGUUGGAAAUAUUCCAAAAGGAAUACUAAUAUUAAUCAUUUUAUAGCAAUUGGAAAAUACUGAAAAAGUUUUGCUAAAGCUAACAAAACUUACUAUACACUCCAACAGAUACUUGUAAAUUUCCAUGUCACCAAGGCGGUACCCUCAAAGGCACAUCUUUUAUGCCUGCAAUAUGUAUCUUUCAUCUCAAAAGAUGGAGAUAGUGUACCUAUAGUGUACCUUUAAAAAUGAUUUAAGGUCCAUACGUACCCUUUCUUUCUGAUGCAUGAUCAGUUCCACACUCUCACCACUCUCGGGUUUAAUCGAUUAAUUCGGUUCGCUUCAACAGGCUGUAUUGGCAUGAUCAUAUACAUGUACGGUAUUGCCAACGCAUUACGGGAAUGUCGAACUGUUAAUAAUAAACCGAAGUGCUGUACGAGAAAUAUAAAACCGAAUUAAAAGAGUAAACAAAAACCAAAGAAAAGACCAAUGAAAAAUUGACAUCCUCGAUUAAAACAUAAAGAAUACGAGUGAGUUUUCAAACGGGAUUUAAACACGGAAACGGAAGGGGAAGAUCUAAUGUGGAGAGGAAGACUAUUCCAAAGCCUAGGAGCAGCCACCGAGAAAGCCCGGUCACUUUUAGCCUUAAAACAUGAACGAGGAACUGAGAGUGGUAGUAGUGUGUUAGUAGCAUUAGUGUUGUUUUCGUAGAAGAUUGUUAUCAGAAUCUGAAUAAACAUAUUGUAUUAGUGUCCAUUUGUUGUAGUGGGUGGGUUACUCACUGUCCCUCAGGUUGUGGCAGGCACACAGGCUAAAAUGCACCUCUCCUUUAUUUCUCCUAACGGUACGGGCAGUUUGUCAGUGUUUGGCGGAAGGAUGAACUGGGGAUGUGUGAUGUGAUGUUUUUUUAAAAUAUAAUUCACGCAAGUGUUUGAAGUUGUUACACUCGGUUAGAAAGUGCAGCUCUGUCUCCACUGUGUUGCUGUUGCACUGUGUGCGCACUCUGCUCUUUAGGGAGCCGCGAUUACUUCUAGCGGCCGUCUCGACGGCCAGUGUGUGUGCCGAGUCUGGACUGUGUCAGCGUGGUUCUGCGUCGGUGUGCGGUCACUGUGCUCAGGUAGUCCGCUACAGUGUACUGUGCGUUUCGGGCCAGACAGCACUGCAUUUUACUUUGUGCUUGUGUGUUCGUAGGGGUGGAUGUAGUUUUGUUUCUGUAGUGUUAUAAUUUGGUGAGGUCUGAUGGGUCUGAUUUGUUCUUGUGUCCGGCUGCUCCUGGGGUAGAACCGUGUUAGCGUGUGUUAAUGAGCUGAGGUUCAGGACUAGCCGGGCGAGGAGAAUCGUCUUUGUGAGCGGCCCCCAGACCUCACUACCGUACAGCAGAAUCGAUUUGAAUUGGGAUUUGGGAAUGAAUUUGUUGUGUAGAAUUUUACUUGCGCCUGCUCUGUCAGCUCAUUCGCCGCUGGACUGAAAUUUCCAGUGGUAUUAAUUUUCAAUCCGAAGUAUUUGUAUUCUUUGCAAUUUCUAUUCUGUGCGUCCCUAAAGUGAAGUUAAUCACUACUUGUGGCGAAGUCUCUGUGAAGUGAGCUGCUCUAAUGGCUUUGACGUUAAAUAGUACAAUAUCCUUUCCAAACCAAAAGUAGAAUCUGUUAAAGCCUCUAGGGUUAUACAUUACUCCCACAUAUGAUUGGUAGUGUUUUGGCUUCUAGACUGGUGGACAUGCUGGAUGCUGCUGAAAAAUACUUUGAGGAGUCCUGGGAUUGACACCAGCUCUGUGUGUUGGUGCAAAAAGGGUAUUGGAAAGGCCAAAAGUAAACCUGGAGAAGUAUUAACAUUAGCUUCUGAAGUAAGAAAUUUGGUGAGGAGAUAAGUGAUAUGAUUUGAUUAUAUAAUGCAGAUAUUUUAGUUUUUAAGGUGCAUGUACAGGACUCCUGGACAAGGAGACAUCUGCUUGAGCUUCCAGACAUCUGUAGAAAACCUCCCAUCUGCUGGUAUAUGCACCGGACUGUUCAUGUGGACCGAAUAAAAAUGGAAUCUCUGUCAACUACACACCCACACCUCCUGACUCUUCUCUGCACUCAAGAAAUAAUUUACUGUCUGUUUCGUUUUGCACAGGAACCCACAAGCUGUAGUUUCCUCCAACCUGCCAACAAACACGACUGCAGGUGGAUCGGCUGUGUGUGUGAAUCUUCGUGCAUGGUGUUGUGCGAUGGACUGGCAUCCCAUCCCACCUUCGACCCACUGUGAUCGGCUCGGGAUCCACCGUGACGCUGCCCAGGAUUAAACGUCUACUGAAGAUGAAGGAACAAAUCAUUUGUGUACACGUAAUGAUUUUGGAUUGUAUUAUAUACAGGUGCAUCUAAAAAAACAAAACAAAAACAGAAUAUUGUGGAAAAGUUCGUUUUGUUCCUUAAUUUAAUUUAAUUAAAAAGUGGAACUUUCAUAUAUUCUGGAUUCAUUACACAUAAAGUGAAAUAUU
Molecule: long non-coding RNA, 2832 nt
Organism: Ictalurus punctatus (channel catfish)
Lineage: Eukaryota; Metazoa; Chordata; Actinopteri; Siluriformes; Ictaluridae
Source: Ensembl